RNAcentral lists this transfer RNA (72 nucleotides) under Hypsilurus bruijnii. RNAcentral describes it as "tRNA-Gln". It matches the Rfam family "tRNA". From Rfam's summary of the family: Transfer RNA (tRNA) molecules are approximately 80 nucleotides in length. Their secondary structure includes four short double-helical elements and three loops (D, anti-codon, and T loops). Further hydrogen bonds mediate the characteristic L-shaped molecular structure. tRNAs have two regions of fundamental functional importance: the anti-codon, which is responsible for specific mRNA codon recognition, and the 3' end, to which the tRNAs corresponding amino acid is attached (by aminoacyl-tRNA synthetases). tRNAs cope with the degeneracy of the genetic code in two manners: having more than one tRNA (with a specific anti-codon) for a particular amino acid; and 'wobble' base-pairing, i.e. permitting non-standard base-pairing at the 3rd anti-codon position. The record is from RNAcentral. Lineage: Eukaryota; Metazoa; Chordata; Lepidosauria; Squamata; Agamidae.
UAGGGGGUAGUAUAAGUGGUAAUACGUAAAAUUUUGAAUUUUUUGUUGGGGGUUCGAGUCCCUUUCUUCUAG